RNAcentral lists this ribosomal RNA (251 nucleotides) under uncultured bacterium. RNAcentral's name for it is "partial 16S ribosomal RNA". It matches the Rfam family "Bacterial small subunit ribosomal RNA", at positions 100 to 354 of the family's 1533-position model. The record is from RNAcentral.
CGGGGUGAGUAACGCGUGGGCAACCUGCCUUACACAGGGGGAUAACACUUAGAAAUAGGUGCUAAUACCGCAUAAGCGCACAGCUUUGCAUGAAGCAGUGUGAAAAACUCCGGUGGUGUAAGAUGGACCCGCGUCUGAUUAGCUGGUUGGCAGGGUAAAGGCCUACCAAGGCGACGAUCAGUAGCCGGCCUGAGAGGGUGAACGGCCACAUUGGGACUGAGACACGGCCAGACUCCUACGGGAGGCAGCAG